This 698-nucleotide ribosomal RNA is filed under the name uncultured bacterium. RNAcentral's name for it is "bacterial SSU rRNA". It matches the Rfam family "Bacterial small subunit ribosomal RNA", at positions 134 to 852 of the family's 1533-position model. The record is from RNAcentral.
UACACACGGAUAACAUACCGAAAGGUAUGCUAAUACGGGAUAAUAUAUUUGAGAGGCAUCUCUUAAAUAUCAAAGGUGAGCCAGUACAGGAUGGACCCGCGUCUGAUUAGCUAGUUGGUAAGGUAACGGCUUACCAAGGCGACGAUCAGUAGCCGACCUGAGAGGGUGAUCGGCCACAUUGGAACUGAGGCACGGUCCAAACUCCUACGGGAGGCAGCAGUGGGGAAUAUUGCACAAUGGGCGAAAGCCUGAUGCAGCAACGCCGCGUGAGUGAUGAAGGCCUUCGGGUCGUAAAACUCUGUCCUCAAGGAAGAUAAUGACGGUACUUGAGGAGGAAGCCCCGGCUAACUACGUGCCAGCAGCCGCGGUAAUACGUAGGGGGCUAGCGUUAUCCGGAUUUACUGGGCGUAAAGGGUGCGUAGGCGGUCUUUCAAGUCAGGAGUGAAAGGCUACGGCUCAACCGUAGUAAGCUCUUGAAACUGGGAGACUUGAGUGCAGGAGAGGAGAGUGGAAUUCCUAGUGUAGCGGUGAAAUGCGUAGAUAUUAGGAGGAACACCAGUUGCGAAGGCGGCUCUCUGGACUGUAACUGACGCUGAGGCACGAAAGCGUGGGGAGCAAACAGGAUUAGAUACCCUGGUAGUCCACGCUGUAAACGAUGAGUACUAGGUGUCGGGGGUUACCCCCUUCGGUGCCGCAGC